GUUAUAUGGUCAAGCGAAUAAGCGCACACGGUGGAUGCCUUGGCGGUCAGAGGCGAUGAAGGACGUGGCAGCCUGCGAAAAGUAUCGGGGAGCUGGCAACAAGCUUUGAUCCGGUAAUGUCCGAAUGGGGAAACCCACCCGCUUGCGGGUAUCCUGCAGUGAAUACAUAGCUGCUGGAAGCGAACCUGGUGAACUGAAAUAUCUAAGUAACCAGAGGAAAAGAAAUCAACCGAGAUUCCGUAAGUAGCGACGAGCGAACGCGGACUAGCCCUUAAGCUGAUUUGGUUCUAGGAAAACGCUCUGGAAAGAGCGGCCAUAGAAGGUGAUAGCCCUGUAUCUGAAAGGGCCAUUUCAGUGAAGACGAGUAGGGCGGGGCACGUGAAACCCUGUCUGAACAUGGGGGGACCAUCCUCCAAGGCUAAAUACUACUGACCGACCGAUAGUGAACCAGUACCGUGAGGGAAAGGCGAAAAGAACCCCGGAGAGGGGAGUGAAAUAGAACCUGAAACCGUGUGCGUACAAGCAGUAGGAGCUCCGCAAGGAGUGACUGCGUACCUUUUGUAUAAUGGGUCAGCGACUUACUGUUCGUGGCAAGCUUAACCGUAUAGGGGAGGCGAAGGGAAACCGAGUCUGAUAAGGGCGCAUAGUCGCGGGCAGUAGACCCGAAACCGGUGAUCUAGUCAUGCCCAGGGUGAAGGUGCGGUAACACGCACUGGAGGCCCGAACCCCCACUCCCUGCAAAGGUAGGGGAUGAGGUGUGAUUAGGAGUGAAAAAAGCUAAUCGAACCCGGAGAUAGCUGGUUCUCCUCGAAAGCUAUUUAGGUAGCGCCUCAUAUGUAUCCUCUCGGGGGGUAGAGCACUGUUAUGGCUAGGGGUCAUCGCGACUUACCAAACCAUUGCAAACUCCGAAUACCGAGACGGACUGUAUGGGGAGACACACGGCGGGUGCUAACGUCCGUCGUGAAAAGGAAACAACCCAGACCCACAGCUAAGGUCCCAAAUUUUGUGCUAAGUGGAAAACCAUGUGGAAAGGCACAGACAGCCAGGAGGUUGGCUUAGAAGCAGCCACCCUUUAAAAAAAGCGUAAUAGCUCACUGGUCGAGUCGGUCUGCGGGGGAAGAUUUAACGGGCUAAGCACAGAACCGAAGCUUGGGGUGCAUAACUUUGUUAUGCGCGGUAGAGGAGCGUUCCGUAAGCCGUUGAAGGUGGAUUGAGAAGUCUGCUGGAGGUAUCGGAAGUGCGAAUGCUGACAUGAGUAACGAUAAUGCGGGUGAAAAAACCCGCACGCCGAAAGCAAGGUUUCCUUGCGCAACGUUAAUCGGCGCAGGGUGAGUCGGCCCCCUAAGGCGAGGACGAAAGUCGUAGUCGAUGGGAAGCAGGUUAAUAUUCCUGCACCUCGCGCGUAAGUGCGAUGGAGGACGGAGAAGGUUAGGUGUACCAGGCGUUGGUUGUCCUGGGGAAAGGCGGUAGGUUUGGAUCUUUGGCAAAUCCGGAUCCUCUAAGACCGAGCACCCGAGACGAGCCUUUAUGGCGAAGUCACUGAUACCACGCUUCCAGGAAAAGCUCCUAAGCUUCAGCUUACGCAGACCAUACCGUAAACCGACACAGGUGGGUAGGAUGAGAAUUCUCAGGCGCUUGAGAGAACUCGGGUGAAGGAACUAGGCAACAUGGCACCGUAACUUCGGGAGAAGGUGCACCCUUUUGGUGGCUCGUGCGAGCUAUAGCUGAAGAAGGGGUCGCAGUAACCAGGCCGCUGCGACUGUUUAUCAAAAAAAACACAGCACUCUGCAAACACGAAAGUGGACGUAUAGGGUGUGACGCCUGCCCGGUGCUGGAAGGUUAAUUGAUGGGGUCAGCCGCAAGGCGAAGCUCUUGAUCGAAGCCCCAGUAAACGGCGGCCGUAACUAUAACGGUCCUAAGGUAGCGAAAUUCCUUGUCGGGUAAGUUCCGACCUGCACGAAUGGCGUAACGACAGCGGCGCUGUCUCCACCCGAGACUCAGUGAAAUUGAAAUCGCUGUGAAGAUGCAGCGUUCCCGUGGCAAGACGGAAAGACCCGUGAACCUUUACUAUAGCUUUACACUGAACGUUGAGUUCGUCUGUGUAGGAUAGGUGGGAGGCUAUGAAACUGUGGCGCUAGCUGCAGCGGAGCCAUCCUUGAAAUACCACCCUGUCGUGCUUGACGUUCUAACCUGGGCCCAUUAUCUGGGUCGGGGACCGUGUAUGGUGGGUAGUUUGACUUGGGCGGUCUCCUCCUAAAAAGAGUAACGGAGGAGCUCGAAGGUACGCUCAGCGCGGUCGGACAUCGCGCACUGUGUGCAAAGGCAUAAGCGUGCUUGACUGCAAGAUCGACGGAUCAAGCAGGUAGGAAACUAGGACUUAGUGAUCCGGUGGUUCUGUAUGGAAGGGCCAUCGCUCAACGGAUAAAAGGUACUCCGGGGAUAACAGGCUGAUACCGCCCAAGAGUUCAUAUCGACGGCGGUGUUUGGCACCUCGAUGUCGGCUCAUCACAUCCUGGGGCUGUAGUCGGUCCCAAGGGUAUGGCUGUUCGCCAUUUAAAGUGGUACGCGAGCUGGGUUCAGAACGUCGUGAGACAGUUCGGUCCCUAUCUGCCAUGGGCGUUGGAGAUUUGAGAGGGGCUGCUCCUAGUACGAGAGGACCGGAGUGGACGAACCUCUGGUGUUCCGGUUGUCACGCCAGUGGCAUUGCCGGGUAGCUAUGUUCGGAAGCGAUAACCGCUGAAAGCAUCUAAGCGGGAAGCGCGCCUCAAGAUGAGAUCUCCCGGGGCACAAGCCCCCUGAAGGAACCAUGUAGACUACGUGGUUGAUAGGUCAGGUGUGUAAGUACAGCAAUGUAUUGAGCUAACUGAUACUAAUGAUCCGAGAGGCUUGACCAUAUAACCU
This 2901-nucleotide ribosomal RNA is filed under the name Stenotrophomonas maltophilia. Its description in RNAcentral is "23S ribosomal RNA". It matches the Rfam family "Bacterial large subunit ribosomal RNA". The record is from RNAcentral. Lineage: Bacteria; Pseudomonadati; Pseudomonadota; Gammaproteobacteria; Lysobacterales; Lysobacteraceae.